UUCCACCCCCGUGACCCCCUGGCGUCCCCCUCCCACCACCGCAGCCCAACUGCUACGCCAAGGUGAUCACCAUCGAGGCGCAGAAGAAGAUCGUCAUCUACUCGAAGCAGCCCAUCGGGGUCAACGAGGAGAUCACCUACGACUACAAGUUCCCCAUCGAGGACACCAAAAUCCCCUGCCUGUGCCGCACCGAGAGCUGCCGCGGCACGCUCAACUAGGCCACCGCCUGGUGGGCCCGGUGGUGGGCCUUCUGGUGGGCCUUCUGGUGGGCGAGGAGGCAGCGGCGUUGGGGAGAAGUCAACGCGGUUGGCAAGAGGUCAACGUGGUUGGCAAGAGGUCGUCGUGGUCAUCACCGUGGUCAUCACCGUGGUUGGCAAGAGGUCAUCGUUGUUGGUGUUGGGUCAUUGUGGUUGGCAAGAAGUCAUCAUGGUCAUCACCAUGGUUGGAAGAGAGGUCAACGAUGUUGGUGAGAAGUCAUCGUGGUUGGUGUUGGGUCAUCGUGGUUGGUGAGAGGUCGUCAUGGUCAUUGCCAUGGUCAUCACCAUGGUUGGAAGAGGUCAAUGAUGUUGGUGAGAAGUCAAAGCGGUUGGCAAGAGGUCAUCGGCGUUGGUGGUGCGUCAUUGGUGUUGGGAAGAGGUCAUCAAUGUGGUUGGCAUGA
RNAcentral lists this long non-coding RNA (658 nucleotides) under Anas platyrhynchos platyrhynchos (common mallard). RNAcentral's name for it is "lncRNA (ENSAPLG00000024157.1)". Lineage: Eukaryota; Metazoa; Chordata; Aves; Anseriformes; Anatidae. The record is from RNAcentral.